Cryptomeria japonica (Japanese cedar) is the source of this 122-nucleotide small nuclear RNA. The record is from RefSeq and is a predicted model, not a curated record. NCBI's taxonomy places the organism in Eukaryota, Viridiplantae, Streptophyta, Pinopsida, Cupressales, Cupressaceae.
GUUCAUAAAAAAAGGAGAGACAAUUGGCAUAUCCCUUGAUAAGGAUAGGAACACUCCUUGGACUAUUCCUUCUCAUAUGACUAAGGCUAUUCGUCAGUGACAAAUCUUACCUAAAUUUUUAU